CUACUUCUAGGGUAUGUGAUUACCCACCACUAAAAUUCUCCAAGAUACCUUUUCUGAAUGAGGGACCCCUAAAGAAGAGGGUUACUUGAUGAACAAAACUAAUACCAAAUAUUUGCUUUUUAAUUGACUUGAAAAUGCUGCUACAGCAUGAGAUGUUAUCUCAAAAUUAAAAUAACUUCUUGGCUUUAUACUUGCCACAGAUACUCAGUGAAAUGAUCAGCAGCCGUCCUGGCUUUCAGCUCCACCAAGAUCAGAAGGCGUGUGGCUCUUUGGGCAGGGCUUGCUGCCUGAACAAGUCUUCCGCCUUCGUCUGGAAGAAUAGAUGUUGAAUUUAUUGCUUCUGGGUUUCUUUGCUUUCUUGGAAUAUCCUUUGGGAAUAAUUUUGGGGGUCCUAGCUGUUAACAUCUUUGAGGAUUACUUUUUCUGGCUGGAAAUUAAUAUUGCUUAUGAAACAGUGGUAUAAAAAGGGCAAAUGUGUCA
Long non-coding RNA from Pezoporus occidentalis (night parrot), 480 nucleotides. RefSeq lists it as uncharacterized. The record is from RefSeq and is a predicted model, not a curated record. Lineage: Eukaryota; Metazoa; Chordata; Aves; Psittaciformes; Psittacidae. The transcript is spliced from 2 exons.